AAAACGAGCAGUAAAACCUCUACAGGCUUGUAGCUCAGGUGGUUAGAGCGCACCCCUGAUAAGGGUGAGGUCGGUGGUUCAAGUCCACUCAGGCCUACCAGAUUCGCUCCCGUGCUUUGUUGUGGCAAAGCUCGCAUACUUCAGUAUGCUUCGCUUCACCACGCCGCGCCCGGAAACGAAUCAAAGGUAAGAGGUUCUGACUACACGAUGGGGCUAUAGCUCAGCUGGGAGAGCGCCUGCUUUGCACGCAGGAGGUCUGCGGUUCGAUCCCGCAUAGCUCCACCAUCUCGUGAGUGUUUACGAAAAAAUACUUCAGAGUGUACCUGAAAGGGUUCACUGCGAAGUUUUGCUCUUUAAAAAUCUGGAUCAAGCUGAAAAUUGAAACACAGAACAACGAAAGUUGUUCGUGAGUCUCUCAAAUUUUCGCAACACGAUGAUGAAUCGAAAGAAACAUCUUCGGGUGGGAGGUA
Molecule: unclassified non-coding RNA, 470 nt
Filed under: Salmonella enterica subsp. enterica serovar Newport
Lineage: Bacteria; Pseudomonadati; Pseudomonadota; Gammaproteobacteria; Enterobacterales; Enterobacteriaceae
Description: 16S-23S rRNA intergenic spacer region
Rfam family: Salmonella enterica Typhi npcRNA 44 (bases 352-460)
Source: RNAcentral